UACGAAGGGUGCGAGCGUUAUUCGGAAUUAUUGGGCGUAAAGGGUGCGCAGGCGGUGCGCUAAGUCAACUGUUAAAUCUCCCAGCCUAACUGGGAAUCAGCGGUAGAUACUGGUGCGCUAGAGGGUGGAAGAGAGAAGUGGAAUUCUUGGAGUAGCGGUAAAAUGCGUAGAUCUCAAGAGGAACACCGAUGGCGAAGGCAGCUUCUUGGUCCACAUCUGACGCUCAAGCACGAAAGCGUGGGGAGCAAACAGGAUUAGAUACCCUGGUAGUCCACGCUGUAAACGAUGAUCACUAGACGUUAGGCCUGCUCUGCAGGCUUAGUGUCGUAGCUAACGCGAUAAGUGAUCCGCCUGGGGACUACGGUCGCAAGAUUAAA
RNAcentral lists this ribosomal RNA (377 nucleotides) under uncultured bacterium. Its description in RNAcentral is "bacterial SSU rRNA". It matches the Rfam family "Bacterial small subunit ribosomal RNA", at positions 524 to 898 of the family's 1533-position model. The record is from RNAcentral.